Non-coding RNA from Chiloscyllium plagiosum (whitespotted bambooshark), 6952 nucleotides. NCBI's taxonomy places the organism in Eukaryota, Metazoa, Chordata, Chondrichthyes, Orectolobiformes, Hemiscylliidae. The record is from RefSeq and is a predicted model, not a curated record.
UAAGCCUGUUAGGACUAUAAGCUGGUGUUGUGAUUUUUAAAAUUUGUCUAGCUGACCAAGAGCAUGCUGUACUCUUAGUUAACUACCUGCCCUGUCCAUUACACUACUGAUUUGUGUCAUGUGUAAAAGCUAACCAGAAUUGUAUACAGUACUACAAAUAUGGCCUUAACCAACAAUCUUUCUAUAGCUGUGAAAUGACAUCCCAACCCCUAUACUCGAUACAUUAUCACACUACAGGGGUUGCAUUCAGUACAACUCGACCACUUGCUUAUUCUUAUUUAUGUGGCCUGCUAUCCAUAGUUUCUAGUUUAUCUACGCCCUAGAUCUCUUUCUCUGGGCUCCAAUUCUACGAACUCCUUUCCCCCGCCGGCCGAGCGGGAGGAGGGGCCGCAGGACACAAUCACUGGGGGAGGAGCCAGAGUGAGGGGGCGGGAACCUGAGGAUUAUGCCGUGAGAAGGGGGCGGGGCCGGAGGACUUGGUCAUCGGCGGACGGGACAAUGGAGUGGGCGGGGCCUGGGGACGAUACGCUGUCACCGCCAGAAAACGAGGCUGGACGACUCAGUGCACUGAGGACAAAGUUAAAAAAAAACACACCAAGUUAUAGUUCAACAGGUUUAUUUGGAAACACUGCUUCAAGUGCUUGUGAAGCAGGACCAUAAAACACAGCAUUCAUAGCAAAAGAUUAAAGUGAUACAACGAGUUAGUGCUUCCAAAUUAACCUGUUGCAUUUUACCCUUGUGUUGUGUGAUUUUUUUUAAACUUUGUCCACCCCGGUCCAACAUCGGCUCCUCUGAGGAACCGGUGAGAGUGGGCGGGACCGAAGCACCCGUCACCGGCUGACGGAACAAUAGGAGUGGGUGGGACCGGAGGCUGCAGACACCGGGAGGGGCGGGGCCAGGUGGCUGUCAAUCACUCGUGCGGCAAAGGCUGUCGGGAGACGGGCCUAGCGAGACGCUCCAGCCACGCCAAGAGAGAACGGGAGAGAGAAAAAAAAAUUCGAGAGAAAACAAUCGGGAGAAGGAGCCGUCCGAUCAGGCGUGUAAGAGCCAGAGAGAUAUAGAAAGAGGGGCGAAGCUAAUAGACAGACCGCUCGCAGAAAGAAACAGAGCGCAGCCUCCGUUUAGGGACCUCCAUGAUGUCCACCUGCGUGGUCCAGGUCACCAACAUCUCCCCGGUGGCCAGCGCCGAGCAGCUGACCACUCUCUUCAGUUUCCUGGGAGACAUCGACGAUUUCCGCGUCUUCCCUUCCGACAAUUCGCCUAUCCCAGUUUCGACAAGGGUAUGUUACAUUAAAUAUCACGAUCCUGUGAGUGUUGGUGUGGCCCAGCAUCUAACAAACGUGGUUUUUAUAGACAGAGGCCUCAUAGUUGUUCCCUUCAAUGAAGUAGAUGACUAGACUGGCGAAGGCAGACCUGUGCACUUGCCUACUGUAGGCAUUGUUUGCCAUGCCACUAAUGCUGACACCAAGCAAAACCUUCACGGGGGGAAUAAUGACUGGAGGCUGCCCGUCGACAUCUUCCAAGAUGGAUACCCUGUCUUUUUUUUUUAUUUGUCCCUUGUAUACAUCUUCUCUUUAAACUUUUUAACCUUUCUGUUUUUGUACUGUGUUAUUUGUAAAUGUUCUCUAACUAAAAUACUGUUUAUUAAAUCAGUUCCUGAUGUGUGUGUUUGUAUGUGUGCGUGCAUGUGUGUGUAUAUUGGGGAGUGGAGUUCUUUUUAGAUAUGUAGUUUAUAAUGGUACCUUUUUGAAAUGCCAAGAUAAAGUUUUGCCAUUGUUUCUUAAGAUAUUUUGAAUUAUACCAUUAUUAUAAUGUUUAAAACCAUGAGUUUAUUUCAGGAAGUAUUUGAAAGCUUUUUAUAUGGCUUUGAAAUUUUCAAUUGAUAUAUGAUACCAAUCUCUUUUGCUUUCAUCACAAUUUUGUGACUGCUGUAGUGAAAUCUUUUUUUCUGUUUUAGUUAAUGAUAACUAUAAGUUUGUACUCUUGUAUGUUAACAAGGAACAUUUUUAGGGACAAUGUAGUUAAUAUAGAUAAUGAUUAGUGGCUAUAACAUAAAAUUCUAUUUGUUUUCUACCACACAUCAUUUUCACAUCUGGCAGAGUACUGAUUUAUGAUCUUUUCACUAAAUUGUAUACAGUGAUUGAUAUAAUGUGAACCUGAAUUUCCCCCUGUAUUCUAUCCAGUCACAGCAUGCUGGCUAUUCUCUGUAUAUUCUCCCCACCCUGCCAUUAUUAAAAUAAAUUUGUUGUGUGGUAGAAAACAGAGUAUGCAUUUGAAAGUAGUGAAGUGCAGUGUACUGCAUGAUUUUCACCACUUCCCCACAAGAUUUGUAAUUUAUUUACAAGUAGUUUGUGAUACUAGUUAAAUGUUCAAGCACACAGAAAUUCUUAUUUAAAAGCUAGCGGUAUGGUGAUAUUGUUUUUAUAAGGUAAUAUUUGAUACAGUUCUUAAAUAUGGCAGUGUUUGGAAGCAUUUGUUCUAUUUGCCUGAAGCAGUACAUUGUGUUUUUUUUUUAAUCCAGGUUUUGACUUUUCUCCUCAAACCUACGGUGUGAGUUGUAUUAGUGUACAAAUUGCUUGGGUGCCCAUAGGUCUUUGAUUCCUUAUUCAAAAACUAAUUAGUUUUUGUGAUGGUCUGACAAUGAAUAUCAUCUGACCAAUAAAAACAGAAAUUGCUGCAAGUAUUUAGCAAGAGAGGCAUUGCCUGUGAAGAGAGAAGUUGAGUUAACAUUUCAGACUAAUAAAUAUAGUUUAGCAUCGUUAAUUGUCGUUAUAAGAAAAGAAUACAGCAUGGUUGCAUUUUGUUCUCAUCCAAUAUCCAUAUGUGUAUGGUUUUAAGUACAGAUCAAUGUGUUACGAAGUGUGAACCCUACCUAAUUUUUCUCCCCACAAUUUAAAGGGUGAACCAGCAAGUUGUUAGCCGUUACUUUUAUUCUGGCCUUCUGUAGUCAGUUCAGACUGGAAAUUAAUAAAUGUGUGGCCUUUCAACUCUACGUGACUAACAAAUCACAAUCAUGUUUAUUCACUAACCCCCUGUCUCUUUCACUGAUUAUUUUUAGAAAAGAUUUGAGUUGGGUUCACCUAACUUAAAACAUUUUGACGUUUUAAAAUUUGGAGGUACUUAAAAUUUCAAUGGUAACCUCACAGUGUGUUUUGGAAAAUAGUCCUUUUUAAUACCAAAGGAAGUCGAUACAUCUGGAACACAGAUGUGGUAUCACAAUAUUUAAGAAGUAUUUAGGUUAAUACUUGAAAUAUCAUAUGUGAACAAGGCUGCAGAACAAGUGUUGGAAAAUGGACUAAAAUAGGUACUGGAUGCCCAGUGAAAUAACAGUGAACUGAGCGAUCUCAUUCCAUGCUAUAAAAUGCAUAUUAUUCUAUAACUCUACAAUGGCUAGAGACUGAUUAUUUUUACAAUUUUAAGUUAACUUGCGCUUCUUGUUCACCUGCAUUAAUUCAUGAUAAAGGUGUUCUCACCAACUCAGCAUCUAAAGGUAGCAUUGAUAGUUUGACAUAUUUUUUUUAAACACAAGAACAUGAAUGAAAUAUGAAUUGACCCUGCAGAGACUUUAUAUAUUAUCCAGUAAACGGAUUCAGUCGUAAACCUGAACAAAUUAAUAUUGAACUUUCAGAAAUUCAUCGCAGGCCUCUGAAAGCAAGAGAAUUGUUACAGGUGACUGCAGUAUCUGACCAAAGCAACAUCUUAAUCUGUUCUCAAAAUGUUGCUAUCACUACUGUCAAAUAGUCCUGAUGUAAAAGGUCAAUGCCAGAACCCAGACAUACUUUCUAUUGACACCUUUGAUGUUUAGGUCUGUCAAGCAGAUAAAUCACUAAGCCGUCAUAUUGUGAACUGCAAAAUCACAGUCGUUGAUAUCAGUCCCCUCUAUGAUAAGCUGUGGAUUAAACUGAAAAAUGCUCGAAAUGUGACCCUGAUACGGUGUGCGUCCAUUGUCAUUUUUAGGAUGGCAGUAUUCUUGACGUUCAAAUAUCCUCUAUGGAAUUGCUGAACGUACACUUAAAUUGGAUUUCGGUGCAGUUGGGAGCUUGAUUUAAAGUUGACUUUGCAAUAUGAGUUUCCCAGGAGCCAACGAUCAUGGCAGUAAAAGGAAGUAGGCAGUACUGAAUUCAUGAGAUCAUUGCCUUUUUCACCAUUGUUGCAUGUUGGGAAGCAGAGUGCUUUCUCUAACUUUACAAGGAAGCCUUCAGCUUUGUGAUUGUGAACUGAUUUUUAGCAUCACUCCUUUCCUCCUGAUUUCUAUGUUCUGUUUUUGGAUGUACGAGCUGCACCCACUGCAGCUGAGUGUUUCUCCUGACUACUGGUUACAGGUUAUCUGUUUGACUAGCUUGUGAUUAGGAUACUGACUGCAUUGAGAUCCUGCAAUAGAGUUCAGCAGGACAUCCAUGUCCAUAAACUUUCCAGCUUCUUUGACCUCCCUCCAUAAAUAUUAUGGGCACCAAAUUCGCAUUUUGAAAAGUCAUUCAUUAUUGGAUCUAGUGAAGCACCAGAAUGAAUAGCAAACUAAAAAUAAGAGUUGACCAAUUAACAAAUUAAAAAAAAAAAUUGUGUGCCAGCUUACAAUGCAGAGAUUUAAUUAAAAAUAAUAUAUUAAUAAUCUGUCUUUUUGUUUUUCAAAACAAGAAACUUUAAUCAUAAUGCUGUACGUAGCACAAACAAAAGUUGUGAACUGGUUUAUUAACAAUGUAUUCACUAUUUAGUGACACAUAGUGGCACUACCAAUAUUGCUACAGUAUGGCUUACAUUAAACUACUUAAUUGAAAUCUGCACAGUACUUUUCCUCUUUCAUUUAAUGAAUUCCACUUGCUCUUUCUCCUUUUCUCUUUUGCUCUACUUUGGCUGAUUACGUUUUGCUUUCUAAUAAUCAUUUAAUCCUGUUUUUCCGCCUCUGUGUCCUUGUCAGUUUUCUUUCUCGAUCUCUUACUCACUCAGUACUCUGUUCUACUUGUUCCUACUCUCAUUUCUGACUUGUUUUUGCUUACUUAUUUGCAUUUGGUUCUUUUCUUGCAGUUACUCGCAAUUAAGUCUCAGUAAUUUGUGUAGCACAUAGUUGAACAGAUCUGACAGAAGUUUGUAGAACUAAAAAGAUAUGCUUGUGGCAGUAGCACCAGUAUCUCAUGUCAUUUCACCCCCACUCCUUUCCUCCCCUUUGGAGGAUGCAAGACCAUUGGUUUUGUUAUCUCCCUUUGUUGAAUAAAAUUAAUUAGUUUAGCAAUGAUAUUAAUUCUCAUUGGAUGUGAAACUUUUGAGUUAGUUUAUGUCUGUUGCACCUCAAAAUUAUCAAAAACAUUAAGCUAAUGCCUAUAUCCAUACAGUUUUUCUGAUGUUGAUUAACUGGCUUUUGACUUUGGCAGUAGUUGUUGCACCACAAGCAGUUGUUAAUCUACGGAAGCUUAUUAUAGUAUUUGCCUAAUUUAUGCUUAUUUUCUAAGAUAAUAAUUUAACAGUAACCUUAAAGGAACAGAGCUGUAAGCAACUUGAUAUAAAGGCUAUACUCAGUGCUACAGGAGAUCAACUAAUUCCAGUUCUAUUGGUUACCUGGGCCAGGAAGGAGGAAGGAUAGUUAAGUAAUUCACUAAAAGCAGUUGCAAUUCAGCCACAGAAGGGCUGCAUAAAUUUUGAGCUCCCUGCUGUUCCUGGCCAUCUCCUACCCCAAUUUUAUUGCGCAGUAACUGGUGAUCAGUUGACUGUAAAAUUAUUUGUGCAGAUGCACAUAUCAUUGUUGCACAGGCAAGGUAACGUGUAAUUUGUCAUGGUAUUCAGGGCAAAUUGAAUUACAUUACAUUACAUUAUGAUCUCACGUGAACAAUUAUGGUGUCUUGCUGCAACUGUUAAACUGGUUUUUAAUUUUUUUUUAAAAAAAGAAAAUCAGUUCUUCGAUUUUGGCUAUGUCAUUUUAUUGGGGACUGAAAAAAGAAUUUUAAAAAAUGUUCUUCUUUUCUGUAUCUGAUGUUCUGUGUGCUAGUAGUGAUGCAGCCAACAUGAACGGUUGUCGUGUGUAACACAACUUUCGAACACUGAGAGUGAUCGCCUGGGGAAAGCGUCCAUGCUUGAUAUCGUAUGGUACAUGACCAAUAAGUUUCAAGUACAGGUAAAAUCCCAGAUGAAGCCAAAGCCGUGUCCCUUUUAGUUCCUUCUGGUACUCCAGGAUUGAUACCCGGUGCAGGCUUGCUCCCAGUCCCUACUUCAAACCCACUUGCUUCGUGUCUUCGCAGAAAUCUGCCAUCCUUAUCUGCUCUGGCCUACGUCAUUCCAAAGCCUACAACAGUGGUUGACUCUGAACUUCCUGAUCGGCAAUCAAUGUUGGCCAAGCCAGGAAACCCUACAUCCUGUGUAUGAAUUGUUUUUUAAAAAGCUGUCCUUUUUUUCCCUCUUGCAUAAUAAACGGUUAAUUUUUUAAAAAAAUCUGAAACCUUGCUUCAGAAACCAAUGUUAACUAACUAAGCAAAACAGUGAAACGUGAUCAGUCCAGCUCGGUUUUGUUUUGGGAUCUCACUUGUACUGUCAAAGUGGGCAGUAUUUGGUAUAUAAAAAUAAUGUGAGAAAAUGUGAACGUGACUUCUUUUGUAGGAAGUGUCGAAAAAUAAAAUAUUAUUUAAAUAAAGAUUGCAGCAUUGUGAGGUAAACUGUAAUGUACAGAAGGGUCUAGGUUCCCUGACAAAUGAACUAUAAAAGGCUAGUAUGCAAGUCCAGCAUGGUUGAGAAGGCAAAUGGUCUGUUGUAGCAUAUUGCAAGAGGAGUGGACUAUUUUACUACAGUUGUAAAGGGCAUUGGUGAGAUCACAUUUAAAAUAGCUUUGGUGACCUUAUUUAAGAACGGACAUAAUUUCAUUGGAAACAGUGCAGAAGAGGUCACUUGAUUACUGGGAUGAGCAGUUUGUCUUAUGAAGACGGCAAGGCAGCGGAGGUUUGAAACCAGACUCACAUGUGGGAAAGGCUUC